This 216-nucleotide long non-coding RNA is filed under the name Elaeis guineensis (African oil palm). Its description in RNAcentral is "long non-coding RNA (EGUI_LNC013192)". The record is from RNAcentral. Lineage: Eukaryota; Viridiplantae; Streptophyta; Magnoliopsida; Arecales; Arecaceae.
GCUGGUAGGUAUUGCUGAUUUGAUCCGAUAAGUUGGAUUUGGAAGGCUAGUACCAUCUCUCACAUGUCCUGUCAAGGUUGUAUAUCCUACAUUUCAUGACUUGCACAGCUGCACGUUUUUAGCUCAUCUAUUUCCCAGGUAUAUGAAGUCAACAUUGCUAAAACUACAUUUAUAACCCAAGUUAAUUCAUAGGGUUUAUUAAAUCCACUUAUGAGA